Molecule: unclassified non-coding RNA, 261 nt
Filed under: plant metagenome
Description: partial contains small subunit ribosomal RNA, internal transcribed spacer 1, and 5.8S ribosomal RNA
Source: RNAcentral
UUUCCGUAGGUGAACCUGCGGAAGGAUCAUUACCGAACUGUAAACACGAGUUGUUGCUGGUCCUCAAAUCGAGGGCAUGUGCACGCUCUGUUCACACACCCACUCACACCUGUGCACCCACUGUAGUUCUAUGGUGUGGGGGACCCCGUCCUCCUGCUGUGGUUCUGCGUCUUUACAACACACAAUGUAAUAGUCUCAUGGAAUGUACACCGCGUUUAACGCAAUACAAUACAACUUUCAGCAACGGAUCUCUUGGCUCUC